Molecule: ribosomal RNA, 112 nt
Filed under: uncultured bacterium
Lineage: Bacteria
Description: partial 16S ribosomal RNA
Rfam family: Bacterial small subunit ribosomal RNA
Source: RNAcentral
CCCGGGCCUUGUACACACCGCCCGUCACACCAUGGGAGCUGACUCAACCAGAAAACGAUCAGGCUAACCGUAAGGGGGCCUUCGUUGAAGGUGGGGGUUGGUGACUGGGGUG